This 468-nucleotide ribosomal RNA is filed under the name uncultured bacterium. RNAcentral's name for it is "partial 16S ribosomal RNA". It matches the Rfam family "Bacterial small subunit ribosomal RNA", at positions 28 to 507 of the family's 1533-position model. The record is from RNAcentral.
GACGAACGCUGGCGGCGUGCUUAACACAUGCAAGUCGAACGGAAAGGCCCUGCUUUUGUGGGGUGCUCGUGUGGCGAACGGGUGAGUAACACGUGAGUAACCUGCCCUUGACUUUGGGAUAACUUCAGGAAACUGGGGCUAAUACCGGAUAGGAGCUCCUGCUGCAUGGUGGGGGUUGGAAAGUUUCGGCGGUUGGGGCUGGACUCGCGGCUUAUCAGCUUGAUGGUGGGGUAGUGGAUUACAAAGGCUUUGAAGGGUAGCCGGCCUGGGAGGGUGACCGGCCACAUUGGGACUGAGAUACGGCCCAGACUCCUACGGGAGGCAGCAGUGGGGAAUAUUGCACAAUGGGCGGAAGCGUGAUGCAGCAACGCCGCGUGCGGGAUGACGGCCUUCGGGUUGUAAACCGCUUUCGCCUGUGACGAAGCGUGAGUGACGGUAAUGGGUAAAGAAGCACCGGCUAACUACGUG